RNAcentral lists this ribosomal RNA (996 nucleotides) under Rhizopus delemar. Its description in RNAcentral is "LSU rRNA". It matches the Rfam family "Eukaryotic large subunit ribosomal RNA", at positions 37 to 965 of the family's 3401-position model. Lineage: Eukaryota; Fungi; Mucoromycota; Mucoromycetes; Mucorales; Rhizopodaceae. The record is from RNAcentral.
AGCAUAUCAAUAAGCGGAGGAAAAGAAAAUAACAAUGAUUUCCCUAGUAACGGCGAGUGAAGAGGAAAGAGCUCAAAGUUGGAACCUGUUUGGCCUAGCUAAACCGGAUUGUAGACUGUAGAAGUGUUUUCCAGGCAAGCCGAGUAAAUAAGUCCUUUGGAACAGGGCAUCAUAGAGGGUGAGAAUCCCGUCUUUGGCUUGAGCAUUUGCCUUUUGUGAUACGCUUUCAAAGAGUCAGGUUGUUUGGGAAUGCAGCCUAAAUUGGGUGGUAAAUCUCACCUAAAGCUAAAUAUUGGCGAGAAACCGAUAGCGAACAAGUACCGUGAGGGAAAGAUGAAAAGAACUUUGAAAAGAGAGUUAAACAGUAUGUGAAAUUGUUAAAAGGGAACCGUUUGGAGCCAGACUGGCUUGUCUGUAAUCAAUCUAGGCUUCGGCCUGGAUGCACUUGCAGGCUAUGCCUGCCAACGACAAUUUGACUUGAGGGAAAAAACUAAGGGAAAUGUGGCCCACUUGUGGGUGUUAUAGUCCCUUAGAAAAUACCUUGGGUUGGAUUGAGGAACGCAGCGAAUGCUUUUUGGCGAGUUUUCCAGGAAGGUUUUCUGAGGUACUACGGUAUCAAGGUUGAUCUUUUUGGUUAUACUUCUAUUCGCUUAGGUUGUUGGCUUAAUGACUCUAAAUGACCCGUCUUGAAACACGGACCAAGGAGUCCACCAUUAGUGCGAGUAUUUGGGUGCCAAACCCAUAUGCGUAAGGAAACUGAUUGAUACGAAUCCAUUAAGGAGGCAGUAUCGUCCGGCGCUGACGUUUUAUACUGAAUUGACCGAGACAAAGCACUAAUGAUGGGACCCGAAAGAUGGUGAACUAUGCCUGAAUAGGGUGAAGCCAGAGGAAACUCUGGUGGAGGCUCGUAGCGAUUCUGACGUGCAAAUCGAUCGUCAAAUUUGGGUAUAGGGGCGAAAGACUAAUCGAACCAUCUAGUAGCUGGUUCCUGCCGAA